AAAUACCAGUUAACAACUGAGGUCCGCGGUAAUCGACUUACGCACCCUCCCCUCCCCCGAAAUUGCUGGCAUUGUGCCAAAAUGUGAAUAUCUCACACCUAUUACAUACGCAUGCGCACUAAGCCUAUUUCCGCUUCUAUUCAUUACAUCUUGACAAGCUUUGUUUGGCGCCAGAAUUUCUAUUAAUUCACUCGGCAAUACAUUUAUAAAACAUUUCUCUACCACCUGACGCACUCAUAACAACGACACCAUCUUUUAUAAAGACAUUUCCGUAAGUAUUAAACAAUGAAAACAUUUAAUCUUUCAAUAAUUCGUGUAUCAGAUUUUGUUCCACAUUUAGCUGCUAUUUCUAGCUAUGGUGGUUACCUUCUACUCUCUCCAUCGUUUCCUCUUAAGUUUGUUGGGUAUUUUAGUUGGAGAAAUAUUCCCAAAUACUCUACAACCCCAGAAAUGUUGAGAAACGAAUGUUUUAUUAUAAUUUAUCGAAUGUUCGUUUCUUGGUAUCGGGAAGGGGAAGAAAUAAGUAAGCGGGGCAAAAUGAGUAAUUUCUUAUUAUUUUCUUACCAUUAUGACAUUGGUUAGAAAGAUUUCAACUGAAAUCAUUGUAGGUUUUAGCCAGAAUUAUUCUAAAGGACAUUUCAGAACUCUUCUGGAAACUUCCGUGGGAUGUUAUAAAAUCCUGGGCUUUUUUUCCGAUUUUUACUUAGUGAAUCGCUUGCUUUCUGGAAGCUACUCACUCCCACAUACAGUUCUUGUUGUAAAAUUAAAGAUACCCGACGUUGCUUUCCUCCAUAAUGACCAAAAGUCAUAAAGGUAUAAACUUGAAGAAAGAAAGCCUUGCAUAUUCGUUCUACACCCGUUUCAUGUGUGUAUGUAAAAUCCGCAAAUUUCCAAACAGAAUCGAACUGUCAUUUGCUUCCACGGAAAUAUCCGAAGUGAAAUGGUUUGACUUUUGUCGAGUUAUAUCGAAGGAAUGCCGUCAUAAGUCUUGUACUAGCUUCAGAUUUGUUUGAAUGAAACUGAGAGGUGCUUUAAUUCUUGUCAUCUCUGUGGGACGUAGCUUUCAGACCGGAAUUUAGGGCCGCCUUCCCGUUUAAUCACAUAGUUCUUUAUUGACGAAUGGAAAUUACUCUCCAGUAUUUAUAUGGAAUUGAAUUUGGUAAAAUGAACGAGAACCAAAUGAAAAUAUCUUUGGAAUUGACGCUUUAAUACGUCUCCAGGAAAGGUAUUUGACCGCUCUUGUCAUUUUAUCAAGAGCAAGUAGUAAAAGAAAUCAGUUUUAAGUGAAAAAAUGUUUCCGAAAGUCAUGGGAGCUGUGCUGUUUUCUGAUUUUGUAAAUAUGCCGACAGGUGGAGUUUGAAAAGGGGCUCAGAGUUAUUGUUAAUGAGAUGGUUAAUAAUUUUAUGGGUGUCUGCAUAUGCAGUAAUGUACAAAUGUCUGGGAAGUGAACAGUGUAUGAGUCAGAUACAUGCUUGCGUGUGUAUGGAGGGGAGAAAAUCAGGUGUAGUGUUGACGAAUCUCAGAAAGCAUGGAAGUUUUGAAGGAUGCAGUGCUCCAACAACUAACAACUGAUGCCGGCAGUUUGUUCCAUGCUUCAGCAACUCUCAGCGUGAAAAAAUGUUUCCUAAAGUCAUGGGAGCUGUGCUGUUUUCUGACUUUGUAAAUAUGUCCACGGGUGUUAGACAGGUGGAGUUCAAAAAGGGGCUCAGAGUUAUUGUUUGUAAGAUGGUUAAAUGAAGGGCACAUGUCAAUCCCAACAUCCGAAUCGUAGCCGAAGCCAGUGCCGCCUCGACUGGCUUCCAUAAAAUGCACCAAUCCGACCGUGGCCGAUGCCAGCCUCGCCUGGCACCAGUGCAGGUGGCACGUAAAAAGCACCCACUACACUCACGGAGUGGUUGGCGUUAGGAAGGGCAUCCAGCUGUAGAAACUUUGCCAGAUAAGACCGGAGCCUGGUGCAGCCUUCUGGCUUCCCAGAUCUCCAGUCGAACCGUCCAACCCAUGCUAGCAUGGAGAACGGACGUUAAAUGAUGAUGAUGAUGAUCUUUGUGGGAAUAUCUCAUUCAACCAUAAUAAAUAUGAAGACAGCCAAAUAGAAACUGAAGAACAUCUACACCACUUUCUGCAUCGAAUGUUUGUUUCUUGAUAUAGAGAAAGGGAACAAAAAUUAGUAGGUGGGGCAAAAUGAGUAAUUUCUUUCGCCUUUUUUUAAAUUUUUUCUCUUUUUUUUCCCUUCAGUCUUUAAAGUCAUUAUGUUUUCAGUAUUGACCUCUUUGGUGGGAAACCUGACUGCUGAGAAGCAAGCAGAUGACUUAGUGGCAACUGAGAGGAGAGAAACAGCCCUAUAAUUGUUGCAGUUAUGGUAGGCCCCUUUACCCUCCUACAAUGGGAUAAUGACACCUCUUUC
RNAcentral lists this long non-coding RNA (2404 nucleotides) under Octopus vulgaris (common octopus). The record is from RNAcentral. Lineage: Eukaryota; Metazoa; Mollusca; Cephalopoda; Octopoda; Octopodidae.